Molecule: transfer RNA, 73 nt
Filed under: Stegodyphus mimosarum
Lineage: Eukaryota; Metazoa; Arthropoda; Arachnida; Araneae; Eresidae
Rfam family: tRNA
About the family: Transfer RNA (tRNA) molecules are approximately 80 nucleotides in length.
Source: Rfam by way of RNAcentral
CCCUUCGUGGCGUAGUGGUGAGCACGCUGGACGCGCGUUCCUGAGGUCCGUGGUUCGAGUCCUGGCGAAGGCG